CACAAAYGACUCUCGGCAACGGAUAUCUCGGCUCACGCAUCGAUGAAGAACGUAGCAAAAUGCGAUACUUGGUGUGAAUUGCAGAAUCCCGUGAACCAUCGAGUUUUUGAACGCAAGUUGCGCCCGAAGCCUUUCGGCYGAGGGCACGUCUGCCUGGGCGUCACAC
Molecule: ribosomal RNA, 166 nt
Filed under: Ligularia lankongensis
Lineage: Eukaryota; Viridiplantae; Streptophyta; Magnoliopsida; Asterales; Asteraceae
Description: 5.8S rRNA
Rfam family: 5.8S ribosomal RNA
About the family: 5.8S ribosomal RNA (5.8S rRNA) is a component of the large subunit of the eukaryotic ribosome.
Source: RNAcentral